RNAcentral lists this ribosomal RNA (254 nucleotides) under uncultured bacterium. Its description in RNAcentral is "partial 16S ribosomal RNA". It matches the Rfam family "Bacterial small subunit ribosomal RNA", at positions 524 to 776 of the family's 1533-position model. The record is from RNAcentral.
UACGAAGGGGGCGAGCGUUGUUCGGAAUUACUGGGCGUAAAGGGCGCGCAGGCGGCUCUGGAAGUCAGAUGUGAAAGCCCCGGGCUUAACCGGGGAACUGCUUCCGAUACUGGAUGGCUAGAGUGUGGGAGAGGGAUGCGGAAUUCCAGGUGUAGCGGUGAAAUGCGUAGAUAUCUGGAGGAACACCGGUGGCGAAGGCGGCAUCCUGGACCACGACUGACGCUGAGUGAGCGAAAGCCAGGGGAGCAAACGGG